Molecule: transfer RNA, 68 nt
Filed under: Marmota monax (woodchuck)
Lineage: Eukaryota; Metazoa; Chordata; Mammalia; Rodentia; Sciuridae
Description: tRNA.Ala
Rfam family: tRNA
About the family: Transfer RNA (tRNA) molecules are approximately 80 nucleotides in length. Their secondary structure includes four short double-helical elements and three loops (D, anti-codon, and T loops).
Source: RNAcentral
GGUAGAGCUCAGUGGUAGAAGCGCUUUCCUCGCAUGGAGGAGGCCCUGGGUUCCAUUCCCAGCUAUGG